This 255-nucleotide ribosomal RNA is filed under the name uncultured bacterium. RNAcentral describes it as "partial 16S ribosomal RNA". It matches the Rfam family "Bacterial small subunit ribosomal RNA", at positions 99 to 354 of the family's 1533-position model. The record is from RNAcentral.
CGGACGGGUGAGUAACGCGUGGAAAACCUGCCGUGUACUGGGGGAUAACACUUAGAAAUAGGUGCUAAUACCGCAUAAGCGCACAGCUUCGCAUGAAGCGGUGUGAAAAACUCUGGUGGUAUACGAUGGUUCCGCGUCUGAUUAGCUAGUUGGUGGGGUAAUGGCCUACCAAGGCAACGAUCAGUAGCCGGCCUGAGAGGGUGAACGGCCACAUUGGGACUGAGACACGGCCCAAACUCCUACGGGAGGCAGCAG